GGUUAAAAUGAAAGUUAAGGUACCUAGCUUUUACUGUUUUCAUGAUUUACUUGCUAUUGAUCCUUAUUUUUCUAUGGUCUUGUUAGAUAUAAGAGCUGGAAAGAAAAGAGAUUUCUUGUUGCAUGAUGGGUAUCUUAUUAGAGGGAAUCAACUUUGUGUUCUAGAUUGUAGCUUGCGUUUGCAAACAAUCAGAGUGUUGCAUGGCGAAGGACAU
This 214-nucleotide long non-coding RNA is filed under the name Ricinus communis (castor bean). RNAcentral's name for it is "long non-coding RNA (RCOM_LNC000562)". Lineage: Eukaryota; Viridiplantae; Streptophyta; Magnoliopsida; Malpighiales; Euphorbiaceae. The record is from RNAcentral.